Molecule: long non-coding RNA, 511 nt
Organism: Oryzias melastigma (Indian medaka)
Lineage: Eukaryota; Metazoa; Chordata; Actinopteri; Beloniformes; Adrianichthyidae
Exons: 3
Source: RefSeq, a predicted model, not a curated record
GGCAGGAAGAGUUUCAGAGUUUGGAGAAGAAAGUAGGAAAGGAAUGUGGAGAAAGGUUUGAACGCACGGCAGUGAUCAGGUUUCCUCUAAAGAAAGCCUUAAACCAGCUGCUUCUCUCUGAGAGCCACUCGAGAGGUCUGGAACCUGAAGGGACGAGUCCUCGUUGGAGACGAGAUGUUUGAAGCGCUCAGCUCAGUGAUUAUAAGGAGGGUCUGCUUCCUGCAGACUUUAUCUUUGCACAGGAAAGUCCGCUCCCUUCUGUGCAGAGGUGUGGUCAGCACGCAAACACACACUGCUUAAUGAUCCCUUACGCAACACUACUCCACCCAGCCCCCCACCCAUCGCUAACCCAAACCACACCAUGCCACGACACACAGAUACAGCACAUGGGGUUCCAACUCCCAUCCCCCAACACGCACCGCCACACUAUUCUCACUCAGUGAAGUUUAUUUACUAAUCCUCGCCCUGACCAAUAUGGACACUCUGUUGCAGCCUCCUCUUCUUUACAACA